AGUCAUAAUAGUGGAGUAAGGAUCAGGAUAUGAGAAAGUGGUUCUGGAUGCCAUAUUCAUAUUUGAACAAUUCAACUUUCUCCCCAAAGAAUGCAACAAUCAACCUCUCCACAGCAAUGUCAGCUGCUACGUUUUAGACGUUGAGGACUUCAGCAAUUUGCUUGCUCAAGGUUACUUCAUAGAAUUGCAAGACAUCACGGAAAACUUUACUAUUUGGAAUGAGUCAACUCAACUUCCUUGGAGCAAUAAGUGAUUAAAAAAACAAAAGAAAUGUUAGGAUAUGUUGAUGGAAAUAGAGAAUAUGGUGAUUUUGAAAGUAACCUUGCUUGAGGUUGUGUUUCAGUUUUUUGUCAAAUUUUCUUAAUUUCAGUGACAAAAUACAAGGAACUUUCCUUCAGCACCUGCCUUUUCUUCCUUUUUGUUUUUCGAUUAUUUUUGUUACUUGGAAUGUGAAAGCUAUAGAUGAUGUAACUUGGAAGUGUAUUAUAUUUGUUCUUAAUAAAAGAAUAUUGUUAUCUCA
This is a long non-coding RNA of Nicotiana attenuata, 520 nucleotides long. RefSeq lists it as uncharacterized. Lineage: Eukaryota; Viridiplantae; Streptophyta; Magnoliopsida; Solanales; Solanaceae. The record is from RefSeq and is a predicted model, not a curated record. The transcript is spliced from 2 exons.